Molecule: ribosomal RNA, 253 nt
Filed under: uncultured bacterium
Lineage: Bacteria
Description: partial 16S ribosomal RNA
Rfam family: Bacterial small subunit ribosomal RNA
Source: RNAcentral
GACAGAGGUCCCGAGCGUUAGGCGGAAUCACUGGGCUUAAAGCGUGUGUAGGCGGAUCGUUAAGUGCCUUGUGAAAUCCCUCGGCUUAACCGGGGAACUGCGUCUGAUACUGGAUGGCUUGAGUUUGGGAGAGGGAUGCGGAAUUCCAGGUGUAGCGGUGAAAUGCGUAGAUAUCUGGAGGAACACCGGUGGCGAAGGCGGCAUCCUGGACCAACACUGACACUGAGGAGCGAAAGCCAGGGGAGCAAACGGG